AAGGAGUUGAGAAGGGAGGAGGAAAUGAGAACAAUGGGUUUUAUUGCCAGUGAAAGGAAUGAGACACAAUUACAUCUUGAAGGGGAUGUUUGAAUGAAGUGGAGGCUUUUUAAGGCUGGGGGAAUUCUAGUCUAUUUGAUAAAGGGACAAAGAUCAUAGAGUAAGGAUGAAAGUAGAUUAUGGAGAAAGAAGGUGGUGUAUCACACAAGGAAAAUUUGGGAGGAAUCGGGGUUAAGCGCACAAGUAAUAACAUUUUGUAAUCCUUUGACUUAAAUGGUGUCUCUGUUUUAGGCUUUUGAAACACAUGUGAUCUAUAAAAGUAAGCUCUAUUAUACUCCCGUGUGUGCCAUGUUUGGUCAUGCAUCAUGUGAAUUCCCCUUGACCUGCACAGUGUUUAGGACAACAAGCUCACGGAAGAUGGAGGAGGAGCCUGUUGCUAAUCUGCCAUCUCGGGACCACAAAGAAUCUCGUGCCCUGAGAAUGCAGGCUAGUGAAUAUGGCCCCAUCCAUUGGAGUCGAGAACUCUGUGGCAUCCUGGGGAGAUCAGGAAAAAUGUUCUCUUCAGAACAAAAGACUGACUCUUGGACUAAGACACCACAUUUACCAAAGUCAGAGGAGCAUGCUCCUGCCCUACUACCUCAGGAAGAAGAAGAAAGGGAUAUCAUGAGAAUGCAGCCUGAUUCCUCCCAUUGGUAUCAAGAAUCCUAUGAGUUCCUGGGGGAAACAAAGCACAGAGCCCCUUCUGAACAAGAGACUGAAUCUUGGAACUGGUUCUAUUUCUCCAUCUUGACUCUGAGCUCUCUAGUCUCCUGCUUUCCUUGCUACGGAGAUUUUGGGCUCUCUGUCUCCUGACAUAUUACCAAGGAAGCAGCCACAGGACAGCCAUUACCAGAGAAGUGUGUGAGCCUCACAAUUCUGGUUCUAACCUUUGGAAAGUUGUCAUUGUCUAAGCUUGCCUUCAUGAGUUUCUCAAUGUGUUUUUAACAUUCAUUUUUAAGCAAUAACUGUGCCAAUAUUGCCCCCUUCUUUUAUGAUCUUUGUAUACAAGGGAGGCUAUUUGGGUUUUAAAUAUAGAUUUUAAGAGCAUGUGUAUAUUAAACAUUGUAAUGUGUGUAUAACAUGGAUAUACACCCUAGGUUAUGUUUUUAUAUGUCAUCUCGGAUUUGUUGCCAAUUUAAUAAAUCUAGUGUGGAUACCUCA
This 1200-nucleotide long non-coding RNA is filed under the name Monodelphis domestica (gray short-tailed opossum). RNAcentral describes it as "lncRNA (ENSMODG00000036209.2)". Lineage: Eukaryota; Metazoa; Chordata; Mammalia; Didelphimorphia; Didelphidae. The record is from RNAcentral.